UACGGAGGGUGCAAGCGUUAUCCGGAUUCACUGGGUUUAAAGGGUGCGUAGGCGGGCAGGUAAGUCAGUGGUGAAAUCCCGAAGCUUAACUUCGGAACUGCCGUUGAUACUAUCUGUCUUGAAUACCCGGGAGGUGAGCGGAAUAUGUCAUGUAGCGGUGAAAUGCUUAGAUAUGACAUAGAACACCAAUUGCGAAGGCAGCUCACUACAGGGUCAUUGACGCUGAGGCACGAAAGCGUGGGGAUCAAACAGG
Molecule: ribosomal RNA, 253 nt
Filed under: uncultured prokaryote
Description: partial 16S ribosomal RNA
Rfam family: Bacterial small subunit ribosomal RNA
Source: RNAcentral